AUGGAGAACCUUCCCAAGCGUCCGGCUAACUACGUGCCACUUAGCCCGGUUGGGUUCCUGCCGCGCGCCGGUGCAGUAUACGGUGACCGCACGUCCGUCGUCUACCGGCGUCUCCGCUUCACGUGGAGCCAGACGUACGUGCGCUGCCGCCGCCUUGCCGCCGCCCUCCUCUCCCUCGGCGUCCGCAAGAACGACGUCGUCUCCGUCCUCGCCCCCAACGUGCCGGCGAUGUAUGAGAUGCACUUCGCCGUGCCCAUGGCUGCUGCCGUGCUCAACACCGUCAACACGCGCCUGGACGCCAAGGCGGUGGCGGCCAUCCUGAGGCACUCCCAGGCCAAGGUCUUGUUCGUCGACUAUGACUACGUGCGCCUCGCCAACGACGCGCUACAGGUCGUCGCGGAUGCCGGCGCGCCCGUCCCGCUGGUCGCCGUCAUCGACGAUAUUGACAGGCCCACUGGCGUCCGACUCGGCGUCGGUGAGCUCGAGUAUGAGGCGCUGGUCAGCGGCGGCGACCCGGCCGCGGAGCUGCCCUCGUUCGCGGACGAGUGGGACGCGGUCACGCUCAACUACACCUCCGGCACCACGUCGGCGCCCAAGGGCGUGGUGACGCACUCGUACGGACUCACGGAGGCCACCGGCCCCGCUCUGGCCUGCGAGUGGCGCCACGAGUGGGACCUCCUGCCGCUCCCGGAGCGCUCACGCCUCAAGGCCAGGCAGGGGGCCAGUGUCCUGUCUCUCGCCGACGCCAACGUCGUCGACAGCAACACCAUGGCUAGUGUGCCGCGCGACGGCAAGUCCAUGGGUGAGAUCGCGCUCCGCGGCAGCAGCAUCAUGAAGGGGUACCUCGACAACCCGGAGGCGAACGAUAAGGCCUUCAAGGGCGGGUGGUUCAUGACGGGCGACGUCGGCGUCGUGCACCCGGACGGGUACAUCGAGGUAAAGGACAGGUCAAAGGACGUGAUCAUCAGCGGCGGCGAGAACAUCUACAGCAAGGAGGUGGAGGAGGUGCUGCUCCAGCACCAGGCUGUGGCGGACGCGGCGGUCGUUGCCAUGCCUCAUCCACACUGGGGCGAGACACCGUGCGCGUUUCUCGUGACCAGCAACAAGGCUACCGGGGUCUGCGAGGACGAAGUGAUCGCCUUCUGCCGCAAGCGCAUGGCGCGCUUCAUGGCACCCAGCAAGGUGGUGGUCGUCGACGCCCUCCCGAGGAACGCGCUAGGUAAGGUUGACAAGGUGAAACUACGCGCUGCGGUCCGGAGUUUUGUGCUCCCCAGGGCCACGUCUAGGCUAUAG
RNAcentral lists this ribosomal RNA (1293 nucleotides) under Triticum aestivum (bread wheat). RNAcentral describes it as "partial small subunit ribosomal RNA". Lineage: Eukaryota; Viridiplantae; Streptophyta; Magnoliopsida; Poales; Poaceae. The record is from RNAcentral.